CCCGGUUCCUCGGCCUGCGCUGGCCCAUGAUGCGCAGCCCAACACAGCUUCGAUGGCCAGCGCGCCCUGGCUUCCCGCCCGCGCGCCCGCGCGAGCGCCGAGCCACCGCAUCCUAUCGUCCUGCGCGUGGGCCCCACUCACCAAUCUGCCCCACGCCCCACCUCCUGUUUAUCUUCUCCGAAACCGCCCUCCACGCAUGACUCCCCCACGACGGUUCCAUUUGCCCCAGCACCCCAUUUCCCUCUCCCUCUCCCUCACACGCGCCCACACCUCCGCUGCCACCGCCGUUCACGCCGUGCUGCAUCUGCAGCCGCGCCAUCGCCCGUCACCUGGUGCCCCGCCGCUCUAAGCUCGCAUCGUCGUCCGCCGAGGAUCCUGCGUGGAGCCGUUGCCGAGGUGAGCUCUCCUCUCUCCCUUCCUUCCCUGCACACGUGUGUCCCUGCUCCCACUGUCUGGUCAUGCUUCGCCGUCUUGCCCCGGCGAGCCGAGCAACGCUAGCGUCGCUGUAGAGCUGCUACUCGCGGGCUUCCUGCCCCAGCCGCGCGUUGUAACACCGCUCCGCCCUCCGCCGUUGCUAGCCGCAUCCAGCCCACGAGGUCCGCGUUCCACCCCCUUUGCACAUCACCGAACGCCAGCUCCCAGCCAUGUGCCGCUAAACGCCUCGUUCCUGGUCUUGCUGCGCGCCCGGUCGUGCGCUGUCGUCAAUCCGGCCAGCGAAUUGGCGGCGAGUGGCCGAGCAGCCCAAUGGCCAAGCCUAGCCGGACGGUAGAGAGCCUCCUCCUUUCUCUCCCCUUGCUGUGGCUGUGUUGGAUGGUCCAAGAAAGUCGAAGGAAGAAGAGGGACCGCUGGUGCGAUUCGUUCGUCCGGGCAGAGCCAGAAAACGAAGAAACCAUGUGGAGAAACGGCUGGUGGGCCCACCCAUGUGCUCAUGCAUGCCGUGAGAAACCUCUUGGGCGCAUGCAUGAAAACAACCCCAGGAAACGUGGCCAAGUUUAGGACUUUUCUUUGGCCACUUCUACCGUGCAGGAUUUUCUAUGGACAGGUUCUUAUGGCCCACUAGGUGGUUAAUCCCUCAACCAAUUAUAUUGCGCCACAUAGCUCAAUUCGGUAACUAUUCAUAUCCUUUCGCAUUAUAAAUCCGCUUUGACCCGUUUCAGUAGCGUUAACUUUAUAACAAAUAAAGUGCAUAUUAGUAACAUUGUUUUGUCGUGACACAUGUUAUAAUUAAUUAAUUAAUUAUUCAUUUAGUGGUUAUUAGAACGACCUUCCAAUUAAAUCUAAUUUAUAGUUUUAAUUUAUGCAUUUAUAAAUAAACGUUAAUAUGAUUAAUAGUAAUCAAAUGUUUUGAUUCAACAUUACUUAGUGUGAUUAUGACGUGUGUUUAGCGGUUCUCAUAUGUUGCAUAGUUUAUCAUUCGUGAAUUGUUACCUAUUCAAUAAACCAUAUGUCGUAAACCCGUUUUGACUCGCUUUAAUCGCGUUAACUUCAUAACCUCGUCGCCAUCGUGUUGAUGACAUUAUUUCAUCGUGAUGCGCGUUUUAGCUAAUUAAUCGAUUAUUUAUUUAUCUGACAGUUACUAAAAGUAGCAAUCUAAUCAAACUAACGUAUACUUUGAUUCACUUUAUAGAUACUUGUUAAUAUAACUGCGCCUGCUCGUGAUGGUAAAUUUCUUCCGCUUAUAAUCACUUAGGUUAAAUAACAUUAAUUCAUCAGGUCAUAUAUUUUAAAUAAUUUAUUUAAUAUCGCUCGACUAAUGGUGUGACGGAACCUCCUAAGUAAUUAGGCCCACCUACAGUUGUCCUUGUCCAACGGACCUCAGACACCCUGUAGAUGUUCCUAAGUUACUUGACAAGCUCGGUAUCUUUCCUUACCUUACCAGGAACGUCUCACCCGUCUUGCAGACAUUACAGAACAUCGGAGAUAAAGAGAUGCGGAAGCAAUUACAUAAACUUACAUUUAUUUCAAAAGCAAGCUUGAGUUAUUUUAUUACAGACCAGAACUAAAAAGUGAGUGCAGAGUAGUAAUAUUAUACAAACCAAGGGAGGCACAAACUCCUCCCGAUAAGCUAUAAGCAAAAGAUCCUAUGUGGAGGACCGAGUCCUCCCGCACUUCAGUCUUGUUUUUCUUCUUUUGGAACCACCUUGGCACAGAAGCAGCAAAAGUCUGCUACUUCCUCACCUAAAAACAACGAAGGGAUAAACCCUGAGUAUGGAAUUACUCAGCAAGUCUUACCCGACUAAAGAAAAGACUCUCAAGGGUAUGCUGGUUGUAUGGGAGUCAAGGUAAGGCUUUUCAAUAAUCAAAGACGCUGUUUUGCAGAAAUGCUUACUAAAGUGGAUCCUUAAAAAUCCAAUUUUAUUUGUCAAGUUAAGUAAAAUUACCUGCACUAGGGUUCUUUCUACCCUAGUUCAAUCACUGGUCCUGCACUAGCCAAUUUCUUAACAAAAGCCCAUCGUCUUUAGUGGAAUGCUACGUGUAGGGCAGUGACCAAGUCUUCAUAACCGCGAAGGUACGGCGAUCCGAAUCGAUUAUACUCAGCUGAGGAUCUCCAAUCACACGACAUAUGUAGCACUUAACCCUUGCAUAUGUCAACCCGCCACCGGGGUUCUUAAGACCGGAUCAGGUUCACGCAAACCGAGAGCACAGAUACACCACCGUCCAGCCUCUUGCCAUGGAGGGUACACGCUACUCUCGCCAUCGCUCCACGCCCAUUUCGUGUUAUCUUAUUCCGGCCUUAGUCUGCCCGAGGCAAGGCUUACCCAUGACGAGGCAUGUGACCAGUUAAAGGGUCCUCGAUCAUCAAGCCUACAUCGACAAGGUCCUUAAUCGACUCAGACGGAGACACUACACCGAGACUCUCUUCUCGUGCAAGUCACCCGCCCGGUCUCAACUUAAUUAUUUCAAACCCAAAGUUUGGUACCUGGCAGAGGUACAUCUUUUCCGAUGUUGAACCUAUCAAGGCCUUUGAUAGAUCCAUCAUCAAGUUUUAUUUUCGAAAAACAUCCCACCCACUUUUGCCACAUCAUAUUUUGUAAAAACAAAACCUUUUGUUUUCUAAAGCCAAGCUAAGCAUCAAAAAGCUUUUGUAAAACAGGUGAUUAAGGAAGGUAAUCCAAUUCAAGGAAGGUAAUGCAGGAAUGGUUUUAUCAAGCAACUCCUAUCACCUAAUGCAGCAAUCAAGUGAGAAAGAUUUUAAAAUAGCAAGGAAGGUGGCAAAUGCACCGGGGCUUGCCUUCGUUUACAGGUGAUUCGGGUUCGGAUCCACAGAUAUCGAAGUAGAAACUAUUGCCUGCUUGUGAAUCCGAAGGAGGUGGUGCCCUGUCUUCGGUGACUUCUAUCUCUUCUUCACGUUCUAAUCAUAACCAUACAUAAGUAUAAGAAUGGAUGCCAUGGGAUGCUCAUGAGGAUGCAAAUAUAAACUUAUUAUCUAUGUCUUGAAUACAACUUUCCUUCACGGUGUUCCGGGAACUUAGGGUUUCCGGAGUCGGUAAAGGAGUUCAUAGGGCAGGGGGGGUGUUUUGGGGUUUGGUGAUCAAACAAGGUCCAAAUCAAUUCAAAUCCUACCCAAGGCUUCUAAAUAUUAUGAGGAACUCAUAUAAAAAUUUUGAGCAUUUUUGGAAUUACCCUUUGUUUUCUAAAAAUCCAUAACCAACAUUUUUAACCACUUUAAAUACCCUAAAAUUUCUUACUUCCACUAAAAUUCACAAACUUAUUUUUACUAAAUUCUAGGGAAAAUAACAAGCCUAGGAAAAUUAGUUUCACAAUUUUAGCAUUUUUCUACAUUUUUUUACAUAUUUCUAAAGCUCUGCUGAAAAAGAAAAAGGAAAAGGAUUAAAUAGAACUGGGCCGGUUCUGGCCCAGACGGCCCAGGUCCAGGGCAAAACGCGCCCGCGCGCGCCCGCGCCCUGGCGGCUUUGCAGAAAGGGCCCCGAGUUUUUGACUAACUGUGAACGAGUUCAGUUACUAUUUGUAUCAGUCACUGACAAAUUGCACCGGGGCCCCUCAGGUUCUAUUUCUCCACAGGUGAGGUCCCUGACGACGGCAGCGCACGGAGGAGCUCCGGCGAGCGCGUAGACUGGCCGAGCGGGGCCACGACCGGUGCUCAGCUGCGGCCUAAACCAAAUUCACAACCUAGCGGAUGUUUCCCCUAGGUUAAUUUGAAGAAUGGUGCCCUAAUUUGCCCUGACCACGGCAACCGUGAGUAUUGCGGCUAGGUGGUCGCGUUCCCGGCGACCAGAGGAUUCUCAAUCCAAUUGCAUGCGUCGGUGAGUUUGAGGGAAGCUUAAGGAUGCUAAAACGAGAUUAGAGAGGGCGUGAUCGGACCUGGAGAGGGCUGGCCACGACGAGCUUGGGUUCACGGCGUUCUUCAAUCGGUUUGGGGGAAAUUCCAAAUUCAAGUUCUCUGGUGGGGGGUUUGGGAUGCAGGUGGGUGCAGUAGAUGCUUGGAUGCAUGGCGGAGCUGGGGGUACGGUCAAUUUAUAGCGCCCGCGGGCGGUGGUGCUCAAUUUGGCCGAGCCACGCGGCGGUCGGAGGUGAAGAAGAAAGCACUGGCCGCGUGAGUUCGUGGCCAACGGCGUGGCAAGCUCACCGGCGUCGAUGGGACAGCCUUAAGGUGUCACGGCGGUGCGGUGGAAAGGCUAAGCCACGCGGCACAUGGCCGGGAGGCGGCGGUCACCGGCGAGGUAAUCCACUCAGCCGCAAGGAGGGAGAGAGGGCCACGGGGGUCAACGGAGUGAUCGCCAGCGCACGGGCGGUGAAGAUCUUUUACCCCGCAAGGUUAUCCAUUAGCUAUGAGCGCGAAUCCGGACGGCGGCAGCACGAAUCACGGCGGAGGGAGCCGUCGGCGGUGAGGACAGCCGCGCUGGCGGUCUGAUCCCUAUUGAGCACUGUACCAUGGCAGUCACCAAUUCAGAGCGACUGACAGAGCACAUUGGAGCAUCAUUUUCUCUGAUUUUCAGAUGGCAACACACCCAAUGAUCUAUAGCAAAGUUGUAGUGCUAUAAUCCAUCUAUAUCUUUGCUAUAAUGUGUACUCACAAAAGGUCACUGGAUCCCCUUCAAAAUCGAGCUCAAAGUUCAUGUCAUAACACUGUUAAUCUGCAUUUCAGACUACAGGCAGCCUGACAGUCCAUCUUUGAUUGGGUUUUUCUCCAAAUUUCACAUAAGACCAUGGCUUGAACCCUUAAACAAAGUUGUUCUCCCAUGAUUGAUCUUCAACUUUGAUGUGGUCACCUAACAUGAAUUCUCACUAUUUUGAAAGCUACACAGCCCCAAAGUUGGGCCUACAACCCUGUUUUCAGACUUAGCAUAGGACUCAAAUGAGGUCCAUUUUGCAUUUAAGUCCAAAACUUAGGGUUUGGCUUUCAAGUCCACAUGUUUGUGAACCAAAUGACUUAAAAUACUUAUUUAGCUUGGUUUUUGCACUUUAGCCCAAAAGUGGGCUAAUUUUGCACAUAAGCCCCUAGGGUUUGGUUUUAGGGUUUUCCAGGGUUCCAAUUAGGGUUUCUGGUAUUCCAGGGGUAUAAAAGUGAUUCAAGUUUAUUCUUGGGGUCAUUUUAUGACUUUUACCCUAAAGCUUUUAGGUUUUCUCAACUUGGGUUAGGUUUUACCCCUUUAAUCCCUAUUUAGGGUUAAGUCCUUUAACCAGGGUCCUAUUUGCAAAACACUUAAACAAUACAACUUGUUUGAAAUUUUUGCCUAGUGAAUGCACUCUAGGUGUGUCAAACAUAUGCAAUGCCAAUGCUCUGAUGCCAUGCUCAAGUUUUAGUUACAGUAACACCAGGGGUGUUACAUCCUUCCCCCCAUAAAAGAAUCUCGUCCCGAGAUUAAAAGUCCUAGGGUAAGUAAUGGUAAAGGAAACGCAUCACAUUUUUAUUCCCUUAUUUUUGGUACAAGACAGGGGUGGUGUGGGGGUUACUUCUUUAUUACAACAGCUAUACAGGCUUUACAACUUACAAGGGGCUAGAAAGCCUGGGAAAUUCUUAUCUAAGAAGUCUUGGGUUUCCCAUGUAGCCUCAUCUUCAGAAUGCUGGUUCCACUGUAUCUUGUAGAACUUGAGAGUCUUUCUCCGGGUAACCUUGUCCUUUUGAUCCAGAACUCGAAUGGGAUGUUCCGAGUAUGUUAAAUCUGGUUCCAGGACAACAUCAGUCACUUCAACGGUUCGAUCAGGAACCCGAAGACACUUCUUCAAUUGUGACACGUGGAACACAUUAUGCACAGCAGACAAUGUUUCGGGGAGCUGAAGUCGGUAUGCCACUGGUCCACAUUGCUCAAGCACCAGGAAUGGACCAAUGUACCUGGGUGCAAGUUUCCCUUUAACCCCAAAACGCGAUACACCUUUCAUUGGUGAGACCUUCAGGUAAACAUAGUCUCCUUCCAGGAAAUAUAAGGGCAUUCGCCGCGUGUCUGCAUAACUCUUCUGAUGAGCUUGUGCCUUCUUCAUAUUAUAAAUAAUUUUCUGAACCUUAUCCUCGGCCUCUUUCACCAUAUCAGGCCUAAAGAAGCAUCUUUCUCCAGGUUCAGACCAAUUUAGCGGAGUUCGACACCGUCGUCCAUAUAGCGCUUCGAAGGGUGCCAUCUUGAUACUUUCUUGAUAGCUAUUGUUAUAUGAAAACUCCGCCAAAGGCAAACAUUCAUCCCAUUUCGGUGAGAAGUCCAGAACACAUGCCCGCAGCAUAUCUUCAAGUAUUUGGUUCACUCUCUCAGUCUGUCCACUGGUUUGAGGAUGAUAGGCCGAACUGUGGAGCAAUUUGGUACCCAAGGAUUUAUGAAGUUCUUCCCAAAACUUGGAUACGAACUGAGGUCCACGAUCCGACACUAUGGUCUUUGGAACACCAUGCAAACUGAGAAUACGGGCAAUGUAUAACUCCACAUAGGUAAUGACGGGAUAUUUUACUUUGACAGGGAGGAAGUGGGCGAUCUUUGUAAGUCGAUCAACGAUAACCCAAAUAGAGUCAUACCCUUUCGCGGUCCUGGGCAAUCCCACAAUAAAGUCCAUGCUAAUGUCUUCCCAUUUCCAUGUUGGGAUUGGCAAAGAUUGUAAUGGACCAGCAGUUUUCAUGUGUAUGGCCUUGACACGUCUGCAAGUGUCACACUUAGCCACAUAGCGUGCAAUUUCAAUCUUCAUCUUUGUCCACCAGUAAUGUUGCUUUAAGUCUUGAUACAUCUUAGUGCUUCCGGGAUGAAUAGAAUAACGACUAAGAUGUGCUUCAUCAAGAAUUUGCUGGCGGAGUUCUUCGUUCUUUGGCACUACUAUGCGGUUUUUAAACCAUAUCACACCUUGAUUGUCUUCCUUGAAACACUUGGCUACUCCAGCCCUUAUCUUCUCUCGUAUGUGCUUCAUACCCAGAUUAUCCUUUUGAGCAUCAAUUAUCCUUUGCAAAAUGAUUGACUCAAGCUUUAGCUGAUUUAGAGUCCCUUGUUGGAUUAUUCCCAGGUUUAGUUUUUCCAUCUCCUGACACAAAGUGUUCUCGGAGGUCUUCGCCAUAAGACAGUGGUAGGAGGUCUUACGACUCAAUGCGUCUGCUACCACAUUGGCUUUGCCUGGGUGGUAAUGGAUCUCCAGUUCAUAGUCUUUAAUGAGCUCAAGCCAUCGUCUUUGCCUCAUAUUUAACUCUGACUGGGUGAAGAUGUACUUCAAACUUUUAUGAUCUGUAUAUAUGUGACAGAUAUUUCCCAGCAGAUAGUGACGCCAUAUCUUCAGGGCAUGAACCACAGCAGCUAGCUCCAGAUCAUGAGUUGGAUAAUGCUCCUCAUGUCGGCGCAACUGCCUUGAAGCAUACGUGAUUACUCGGCCCUCUUGCAUCAGUACACAGCCGAGCCCACUGCCAGAUGCAUCACAAUAUACAUCAAAAGGCUUAGUGAUGUCCGGUUGAGCCAAUACCAGAGCAGUGGUCAAUAGUGUCUUCAAUUGCUCAAAGGCUUCAUUACACUUAGAAGACCAAUUGAACUUAAUGUCAUUCUUCAAUAAACUUGUGAUUGGCUUCACAAGCUUAGAAAAAUCUGGUAUGAAUCUGCGAUAAUACCCAGCUAGUCCAAGAAAACUCCGGACUUGGUGAACAGUUGUUGGGGGUUUCCACUCCAGAAUAUCUUUGACCUUGCUAGGAUCUACCGCAAUUCCUUUAGCCGAUAACACGUGCCCCAAAAAUUGAAUUUCUUCCAGCCAGAACGCGCACUUGCUGAACUUGGCAUAUAGCUGAUGUUCCCUCAGGCGCGUCAAUACAAUCCGUAGAUGCUGAGCAUGGUCCUCUUUAUUUUUAGAAUAUAUCAAGAUAUCAUCGAUGAAGACUACCACGAACUUGUCCAACUCGGGCAUGAACACCGAGUUCAUCAAAUAAGUGAAAUGGGCAGGAGCAUUUGUGAGCCCGAAAGACAUUACCAGGUAUUCAAACAAUCCAUACCGCGUAGUAAACACGGUCUUCGGUAUAUCCUCGGGCCGAAUACGGAUUUGAUGAUAGCCCGACCUGAGAUCAAUUUUGGAGAAUACCCUCGCCCCAGUCAGUUGAUCAAAUAAGAUGUCGAUCCUUGGAAGAGGGUACUUAUUCUUGAUGGUGACCUCAUUCAGGGGUCGAUAAUCCACGCACAUUCGCAAAGUUUGAUCCUUCUUCUUAACAAAAAUGGCGGGACAACCCCAUGGGGACGAGCUUGGCCGGAUGAAUCCCUUAUUCAGUAGAUCUUGUAAUUGAAUUUUCAAUUCCGCCAACUCAUUAGGGGGCAUACGGUACGAUCUUCGGGAGAUAGGAGCCGUACCGGGCUUUAGCUCAAUUACGAAUUCUACAUCUCUUUCAGGGGGCAGUCCAGGCAAAUCUUCCGGAAAUACAUCUGGAAACUCACAUACUACCGGAAUGUUCUUGAUCUCCGGUACAAUGGCUUCAUAUACGCUACCAGAAGCUUUGGCUGGAUUGGUUGCGGGGAGAGUCAAAAGAAUCUCUUCUUGAUUAUAGCUCAACCUAACGGUUCUGAGUUCAGUGUUGAGAAUUGCCUUAUGUUGGGUUAACCAAUUCAUACCCAAAAUUACAUCUAUAUCCUGGCCUUUCAGAAUAAUCAUGUUAGCAGGAAAGUUCCGCUCGGCCAUUGUUACUGGCACUCCAUAGGCCACUUCUCUAGUAUAAAUGUGUCCCCCAGGUGAAUGAAUUUUAAAUCCCUCCUUUGAUUCAUGGUAUGCAAUAUAAUGUUGCUCCACAAAUUUCUUGCUAAUGAAUGUAUGUGAAGCACCAGAAUCAAAAAGAAUAAUUGCUGGGUGACUGGCCACGGGAAACGUACCCAUCAUCACCGGCUCUCCUUCCGGUGUAGUAGCCACUUGAGUGUAAUAUACACGCCCCGUCUUCUUCGUAUUCUUCCCCACAGCAUUUCCUUUAGGCUGAGCUGAUUUCCCAGAUCCUUGCGAAGCAUUAGAUUGAUUUUGCCUAGGAUAUGGGCAGUCUUUGAUGAAGUGUCCCGACUUGCCGCAAUUAAAACACCCAGUUGAAGAACUAGGCAAGGCAGGAAAUCGAGUGCCUGGGGCACCCGGCUGAUUUGGAGUAGUGGGGGUAUUGUUGGGGCGAAUAAUGAUAGGUUGUUUGAAAGGGAAUGAGGGUGGACGAGAAAAAGUGCGAUUUUGGCUUGAAGGCCGGAUCACAAACCGUUGCUUCUUCGCCUGGCCCUGAUUAGGCCUCUCACCACCGAAUCCCUUAUUCUUCCCAGAAUUUGUGUAUUUGGCUUCAACAGAUAAGGCUGUGCUGACAGCCUUUCCAUACGUGAGAUCUAUACAUGUGGCCAUCUUUCUCUGUAGCCGAUCAUUUAGACCCCGCAUAAAACAGUUCUUCUUCUUUAAAUCAGUAUUCACCUGGUCGAUGGCAUACUGCGACAGGUGAUUAAACUUGUUGAGGUAUUGAUUGACGGUAUCUCCACCUUGUUGUAACUUCAUAAAUUCCUCUUGUUUCAUAUGCAGCACUCCUUCGGGGAUGUAGUGUUCACGGAAGGCUGCUUUAAACUCAUCCCAGGUGACUUGAUGGUUGACAGGUUGAAUAGCCACGAAAUUUCCCCACCAGGUACUGGCAGGACCACGGAGUUGUUGUGCUGCGAACAACGGCUUCUGCGUCUCGGAACAACGGAGAAGACCAAACUUUUGUUCAAUAACCCGAAUCCACUCAUCAGCUUCUAGGGGAUCUUCUGCCUUGACGAAUAGAGGUGGACGGGUUUCCGAGAAAUCCAAAUAAGUAGUUUCAAGGGGGCCAUGCGGAUAACCCCUUCCUGCCUGCUGCUGGAAUUGCUGCUGACCCGCCAUUUCCCUAAGGAAGCGGGUAUUGUCAGCGGUGGCAUUCACCAAGGCGGCAAUCGCCUCGGCUAACGUGGGAGGAACCGGAGGUGGGUUUGGGGUAACAUCCCUUCCCCCAGAAGUUCUGGCUGCGUCCUGUCCUCGAGUCCUGGUCGGCAUCUCAAAGAAGGAGGGGGCUCAAAAAGGUCUAACUCCCCACCCAGCGCGCGUCCCGCAACGUGAGAUGGUCUGGCUUCCGCCUCAGCAGGGUGUGCAGGCUCACUAGGGUGUAACUGUAAGUAUAAUAUAUGGACUUCCUCAUGCAACGUAUUGCAGUAAACCUGCAGGUCAUCGACAGUCGAGCUAAGUUCUUUAAUUCGGGCCUGAGCCCUUGCUUCCUUAGCACAUAUUAGCAAACGAGACUGUACAGCCCAGUCAAGUGCUAAGUCUCGAUCAGCGAGUUGAUCCUGCAGAUGUCGGAUGUCCCUUCUCAGUUCAUUGAUUCUAUCUCCGUCGGUGACCCAAGCAUCGGUCCUAUGUUGCAGUGCUGCUUGAAGUCGACUCACACGGGCUUCAAGAUCUCCGAUGGGGUCGUUACUUCCACUGCUGCUGCUUUCAUGUCGGGGAGCCAAUUGAUGCCGAGGCACCCCAAUUGGUCCCGUAGACUUGCGUGCCGUUAGCCUGGUUCAUGGCGGCAUCUUUUCUAAGGGGGAAAAUAUGAUUCUUAGCAUGAUGCAUGUAUAAUUACAGAAUCAACCUUAGUCGAUUCAACCUUCUAUACAUUGCACUCUUCCUAUCUGGUCUUUAAGAUAGACUCUUCAGAAUACUCAGGUAAGAAGAGAAAAGAAUUUUUAGGUAAGACUUUUGAAAAUCCUUUUGAAGAUGCCUCAUAAUAUCUGCAAAGAAGGGCUACGCUCCGAUACCAGCUGUGACGGAACCUCCCAAGUAAUUAGGCCCACCUACAGUUGUCCUUGUCCAACGGACCUCAGACACCCUGUAGAUGUUCCUAAGUUACUUGACAAGCUCGGUAUCUUUCCUUACCUUACCAGGAACGUCUCACCCGUCUUGCAGACAUUACAGAACAUCGGAGAUAAAGAGAUGUGGAAGCAAUUACAUAAACUUACAUUUAUUUCAAAAGCAAGCUUGAGUUAUUUUAUUACAGACCAGAACUAAAAAGUGAGUGCAGAGUAGUAAUAUUAUACAAACCAAGGGAGGCACAAACUCCUCCCGAUAAGCUAUAAGCAAAAGAUCCUAUGUGGAGGACCGAGUCCUCCCGCACUUCAGUCUUGUUUUUCUUCUUUUGGAACCACCUUGGCACAGAAGCAGCAAAAGUCUGCUACUUCCUCACCUAAAAACAACGAAGGGAUAAACCCUGAGUAUGGAAUUACUCAGCAAGUCUUACCCGACUAAAGAAAAGACUCUCAAGGGUAUGCUGGUUGUAUGGGAGUCAAGGUAAGGCUUUUCAAUAAUCAAAGACGCUGUUUUGCAGAAAUGCUUACUAAAGUGGAUCCUUAAAAAUCCAAUUUUAUUUGUCAAGUUAAGUAAAAUUACCUGCACUAGAGUUCUUUCUACCCUAGUUCAAUCACUGGUCCUGCACUAGCCAAUUUCUUAACAAAAGCCCAUCGUCUUUAGUGGAAUGCUACGUGUAGGGCAGUGACCAAGUCUUCAUAACCGCGAAGGUACGGCGAUCCGAAUCGAUUAUACUCAGCUGAGGAUUUCCAAUCACACGACAUAUGUAGCACUUAACCCUUGCAUAUGUCAACCCGCCACCGGGGUUUUUAAGACCGGAUCAGGUUCACGCAAACCGAGAGCACAGAUACACCACCGUCCAGCCUCUUGCCACGGAGGGUACACGCUACUCUCGCCACCGCUCCACGCCCAUUUCGUGUUAUCUUAUUCCGGCCUUAGUCUGCCCGAGGCAAGGCUUACCCAUGACGAGGCAUGUGACCAGUUAAAGGGUCCUCGAUCAUCAAGCCUACAUCGACAAGGUCCUUAAUCGACUCAGACGGAGACACUACACCGAGACUCUCUUCUCGUGCAAGUCACCCGCCCGGUCUCAACUUAAUUAUUUCAAACCCAAAGUUUGGUACCUGGCAGAGGUACAUCUUUUCCGAUGUUGAACCUAUCAAGGCCUUUGAUAGAUCCAUCAUCAAGUUUUAUUUUCGAAAAACAUCCCACCCACUUUUGCCACAUCAUAUUUUGUAAAAACAAAACCUUUUGUUUUUCUAAAGCCAAGCUAAGCAUCAAAAAGCUUUUGUAAAACAGGUGAUUAAGGAAGGUAAUCCAAUUCAAGGAAGGUAAUGCAGGAAUGGUUUUAUCAAGCAACUCCUAUCACCUAAUGCAGCAAUCAAGUGAGAAAGAUUUUAAAAUAGCAAGGAAGGUGGCAAAUGCACCGGGGCUUGCCUUCGUUUACAGGUGAUUCCGGUUCGGAUCCACAGUUAUCGAAGUAGAAACUAUUGCCUGCUUGUGAAUCCGAAGGAGGUGGUGUCCUGUCUUCGGUGACUUCUAUCUCUUCUUCACGUUCUAAUCAUAACCAUACAUAAGUAUAAGAAUGGAUGCCAUGGGAUGCUCAUGAGGAUGCAAAUAUAAACUUAUUAUCUAUGUCUUGAAUACAACUUUCCUUCACGGAGUUCCGGGAACUUAGGGUUUUCGGAGUCGGUAAAGGAGUUCAUAGGGCAGGGGGGGUGUUUUGGGGUUUGGUGAUCAAACAAGGUCCAAAUCAAUUCAAAUCCUACCCAAGGCUUCUAAAUAUUAUGAGGAACUCAUAUAAAAAUUUUGAGCAUUUUUGGAAUUACCCUUUGUUUUCUAAAAAUCCAUAACCAACAUUUUUAACCACUUUAAAUACCCUAAAAUUUCUUACUUCCACUAAAAUUCACAAACUUAUUUUUACUAAAUUCUAGGGAAAAUAACAAGCCUAGGAAAAUUAGUUUCACAAUUUUAGCAUUUUUCUACAUUUUUUUACAUAUUUCUAAAGCUCUGCUGAAAAAGAAAAAGGAAAAGGAUUAAAUAGAACUAGGCCGGUUCUGGCCCAGACGGCCCAGGUCCAGGGCAAAACGCGCCCGCGCGCGCCCGCGCCCUGGCGGCUUUGCAGAAAGGGCCCCGAGUUUUUGACUAACUGUGAACGAGUUCAGUUACUAUUUGUAUCAGUCACUGACAAAUUGCACCGGGGCCCCUGAGGUUCUAUUUCUCCACAGGUGAGGUCCCUGACGACGGCAGCGCACGGAGGAGCUCCGGCGAGCGCGUAGACCGGCCGAGCGGGGCCACGACCGGUGCUCAGCUGCGGCCUAAACCAAAUUCACAACCUAGCGAAUGUUUCCCCUAGGUUAAUUUGAAGAAUGGUGCCCUAAUUUGCCCUGACCACGGCAACCGUGAGUAUUGCGGCUAGGUGGUCGCGUUCCCGGCGACCAGAGGAUUCUCAAUCCAAUUGCAUGCGUCAGUGAUUUUGAGGGAAGCUUAAGGAUGCUAAAACGAGAUUAGAGAGGGCGUGAUCGGACCUGGAGAGGGCUGGCCACGACGAGCUUGGGUUCACGGCGUUCUUCAACCGGUUUGGGGGAAAUUCCAAAUUCAAGUUCUCUGGUGGGGGGUUUGGGAUGCAGGUGGGUGCCGUAGAUGCUUGGAUGCAUGGCGGAGCUGGGGGUACGGUCAAUUUAUAGCGCCCGCGGGCGGUGGUGCUCAAUUUGGCCGAGCCACGCGGCGGUCGGAGGUGAAGAAGAAAGCACUGGCCGCGUGAGUUCGUGGCUAACGGCGUGGCAAGCUCACCGGCGUCGAUGGGACAGCCUUAAGGUGUCACGGCGGUGCGGUGGAAAGGCUAAGCCACGCGGCACAUGGCCGGGAGGCGGCGGUCACCGGCGAGGUAAUCCACUCAGCCGCAAGGAGGGAGAGAGGGCCACAGGGGUCACCGGAGUGAUCGCCAGCGCACGGGCGGUGAAGAUCUUUUACCCCGCAAGGUUAUCCAUUAGCUAUGAGCGCGAAUCCGGACGGCGGCAGCACAAAUCACGGCGGAGGGAGCCGUCGGCGGUGAGGACAGCCGCGCUGGCGGUCUGAUCCCUAUUGAGCACUGUACCAUGGCAGUCACCAAUUCAGAGCGACUGACAGAGCACAUUGGAGCAUCAUUUUCUCUGAUUUUCAGAUGGCAACACACCCAGUGAUCUAUAGCAAAGUUGUAGUGCUAUAAUCCAUCUAUAUCUUUGCUAUAAUGUGUACUCACAAAAGGUCACUGGAUCCCCUUCAAAAUCGAGCUCAAAGUUCAUGUCAUAACACUGUUAAUCUGCAUUUCAGACUUCAGGCAGCCUGACAGUCCAUCUUUGAUUGGGUUUUUCUCCAAAUUUCACAUAAGACCAUGGCUUGAACCCUUAAACAAAGUUGUUCUCCCAUGAUUGAUCUUCAACUUUGAUGUGGUCACCUAACAUGAAUUCUCACUAUUUUGAAAGCUACACAGCCCCAAAGUUGGGCCUACAACCCUAUUUUCAGACUUAGCAUAGGACUCAAAUGAGGUCCAUUUUGCAUUUAAGUCCAAAACUUAGGGUUUGGCUUUCAAGUCCACAUGUUUGUGAACCAAAUGACUUAAAAUACUUAUUUAGCUUGGUUUUUGCACUUUAGCCCAAAAGUGGGCUAAUUUUGCACAUAAGCCCCUAGGGUUUGGUUUUAGGGUUUUCCAGGGUUCCAAUUAGGGUUUCUGGUAUUCCAGGGGUAUAAAAGUGAUUCAAGUUUAUUCUUGGGGUCAUUUUAUGACUUUUACCCUAAAGCUUUUAGGUUUUCUCAACUUGGGUUAGGUUUUACCCCUUUAAUCCCUAUUUAGGGUUAAGUCCUUUUACCAGGGUCCUAUUUGCAAAACACUUAAACAAUACAACUUGUUUGAAAUUUUUGCCUAGUGAAUGCACUCUAGGUGUGUCAAACAUAUGCAAUGCCAAUGCUAUGAUGCCAUGCUCAAGUUUUAGUUACAGUAACACCAGGGGUGUUACAAAUGGUUAUUAGAUUAAUAUUCUAACUAGAUUAAAUGUGUAGUAUUCCACUUGAUCUUUUAUAAUAAAUAUUAAUAUAGCAAAUAUUAAUUAACUACUUUAUGUAUUUAAUAUUGGUUUAGUAUAAACGUGUCACCUAUUUAGUUUUAUCACCUGUCACGUGUGCUAUUCCGCACGUGGUGGCAUUCUCGUUCGCGCUGGUCGCGCAUGUUGUUUCGUGUGUCGUCAGCGUGCUAUGUCGUGCGUGUCCGCGCGUCAUUUGCACGUUGUCGUAUUGAGUUCGUCGUCGUCACGUUGUUCGCGCUUGUCGCGCGUGGUGCGCGCGCUAGGUCUCGUGCAGUCGUGCUGUUUCACGCGUUACGUAUUUCGUCUCACUCCACUAAUUCGUCCCGCUUAGAGUCGCUGAUGUUAUUUAAAUUACUUAUUUAACUAAGAAUUAUUAGUGUGGUCAGCUAAUUAAAACUGUGCGAUAGAUCUAGUUUCAUUUUAAAUAAAUAUCGAUUAAUAUAUUCAGGUCAAACUAAAUGUUAUGAUUAAUACUCGUUUAGUGUAGACGCGAUAACCUCUCGAUCAUAGCUCCGCCUGUCGCGUUCCUUUUCCCUCGUGUGACUGUAGUAACGCGCUCUAUUUCGUUUUGCAUAUUUUAUUAUAUUUUCCUUUGUAUAGUGUAAUGUUCUUAUGCAUAUAUGUUUGUUUGUUUGUUCCUGUUUGUCUUCGCUUCGCGUUGCGAUUAGAUCACGAUUUGUUUCCGCGCUCCGAGGAAUCGACGAUCAAGCGUCGGUGACCAAAUGAUCAAGCUCUCUGAGUUUUAUGAGGUUGAAGAUCCUGAGCAUCUGUUUGGUGAAGGCAAGUGUCCUCUGACCCAUUAUGUCCCAUUCACUUUUAAUGCACUGUCCCGCAUUACUUAAUUGAAACCUAAGGAUUGACUAGCUUUCUAUUUACCUUAUCCUUGUUUACCUUUUGGGUUAUCACGGUUAGCAUUAUGCUAUUGCUUUACUUUAAUCAAUGAACAUGAUGUGAAUACUUAUGAUACUAUGAUGUUAUCCUGAUGAUGUUCCUGUGAUACUUUAGGGGGCUCAGGCUGUUUCCUGAGUGCCUCUCCGUAAGGACCUGUUUGGGGAGUGACAACCCGGGAUAACAGUGCAACCAUGAGGGUGGAAUGGGACGCCCUUAGCUGAUUAAUUAGAGGAACUAGAGGUGUAGUUGCUUCGCCGUCGUGCUGUCAAUGGGGUCCAGGCACAGUGCUUGCUCUACCGAGGCUGGGUGCCGAGGUUGUUUCGUUUUGCUUUUGUUAGUCACCCUCCUGUGGGGAGAGGUACUGUGUUUAUCAAACUGGAGAAACCUAACGGGCGGCUAUGACCUCUAGGGAAUCUUCGUAAAAGCUACGUAGUGAUACCCUGCCGGACCACCUAGGAAGUGAUCAAUGGGGAGUCAUGAUCCCCGGACAGAAAGGGAAUCAUGACUCAUGGGUAAAGUGUGCGACCUCUGCAGAGGGAAUGAAACUGAUAUAUCAGCCAUGCUCACGGUUAAGAGCGGCCUUGGGAUCCUCUUUGAUUAGAGAUACAGAUGAUAUGAGACACAAUGGUUUUAUUUAUGGUUUUGGUUCGAUGCUGAUAUUGGUGUUUCCUCGAUGAGGAAAUGGUUCAUGGGUUGGUUAUCUGAUAAAACUUGGCUUCCACUAAUAAUAAAUACCUGACCAACUAAAAGCAAUCUGCUUUGACCUUAACCCCACAUAAAGCUAGUCCACUUCAGCCAAACAGGACAUUUGCUGAGUACGUUGAUGUGUACUCACCCUUGCUUUCACAAAACACCAGGUUGCCUUUGGUGCAAUCUAUACUCAAGUAAAGAAGAAGGCGUCGAGGCGGAUCUCCAGGAGUUCCAGGACUUCGACGAGUUCGAGGAUUAGGCUAGCGACCACCCCCAAGUUAGCUGCCUGUGGUGGGUUUAUUUACGUUGGCUACGUUUCUAUUCUGUGUACUUUGAUUAUAUUAUGUAAAUGACUCUAGUCUUUAUAUUAUUACUUACUCUUUAUUGUUAUUCGAAGCAUUGUGCUAUGAUGAGUCAUUUAUGUAAUCGCCGUGUACGUGAAUUUCUGAUCCUGGCACGUACAUGGUUCGCAUUCGGUUUGCCUUCUGAAACCGGGUGUGACAGUGCGGGAUGACGACCGCGACGGCGGGGGUAGGAGAGGGCGGGAGGCGCGGUCGGGGGGAGUGGGACGCGAUUUGUGGCUCGCCGAUCUCGCGUCGCGCAAGGAAAGGGGAGCCGAUCUCGCUGCCAUGUAUGGGAGCCAGC
RNAcentral lists this long non-coding RNA (17486 nucleotides) under Zea mays. RNAcentral describes it as "long non-coding RNA (ZMAY_LNC000782)". The record is from RNAcentral. Lineage: Eukaryota; Viridiplantae; Streptophyta; Magnoliopsida; Poales; Poaceae.